RNAcentral lists this ribosomal RNA (732 nucleotides) under Mycobacterium intracellulare. Its description in RNAcentral is "bacterial SSU rRNA". It matches the Rfam family "Bacterial small subunit ribosomal RNA", at positions 65 to 801 of the family's 1533-position model. The record is from RNAcentral. Lineage: Bacteria; Bacillati; Actinomycetota; Actinomycetes; Mycobacteriales; Mycobacteriaceae.
CACGGAAGGCCCCUUCGGGGGUACUCGAGUGGCGAACGGGUGAGUAACACGUGGGCAAUCUGCCCUGCACUUCGGGAUAAGCCUGGGAAACUGGGUCUAAUACCGGAUAGGACCUUUAGACGCAUGUCUUUUGGUGGAAAGCUUUUGCGGUGUGGGAUGGGCCCGCGGCCUAUCAGCUUGUUGGUGGGGUGAUGGCCUACCAAGGCGACGACGGGUAGCCGGCCUGAGAGGGUGUCCGGCCACACUGGGACUGAGAUACGGCCCAGACUCCUACGGGAGGCAGCAGUGGGGAAUAUUGCACAAUGGGCGCAAGCCUGAUGCAGCGACGCCGCGUGGGGGAUGACGGCCUUCGGGUUGUAAACCUCUUUCACCAUCGACGAAGGUCCGGGUUUUCUCGGAUUGACGGUAGGUGGAGAAGAAGCACCGGCCAACUACGUGCCAGCAGCCGCGGUAAUACGUAGGGUGCGAGCGUUGUCCGGAAUUACUGGGCGUAAAGAGCUCGUAGGUGGUUUGUCGCGUUGUUCGUGAAAUCUCACGGCUUAACUGUGAGCGUGCGGGCGAUACGGGCAGACUAGAGUACUGCAGGGGAGACUGGAAUUCCUGGUGUAGCGGUGGAAUGCGCAGAUAUCAGGAGGAACACCGGUGGCGAAGGCGGGUCUCUGGGCAGUAACUGACGCUGAGGAGCGAAAGCGUGGGGAGCGAACAGGAUUAGAUACCCUGGUAGUCCACGCC